This 789-nucleotide ribosomal RNA is filed under the name uncultured Pelagibacteraceae bacterium. RNAcentral describes it as "bacterial SSU rRNA". It matches the Rfam family "Bacterial small subunit ribosomal RNA", at positions 41 to 878 of the family's 1533-position model. Lineage: Bacteria; Pseudomonadati; Pseudomonadota; Alphaproteobacteria; Candidatus Pelagibacterales; Candidatus Pelagibacteraceae. The record is from RNAcentral.
GGCACGCCUAACACAUGCAAGUCGAACGAAGUAGCAAUACUUAGUGGCAGACGGGUGAGUAACAUGUAGGUAUCUACCCUAUGGCCUGGAAUAACACGAGGAAACUUGUGCUAAUACCGGAUAAGUCUUUACGGAGAAAGCUUUAUGCACCAUUGGAUGAGCCUGCACUUGAUUAGUUUGUUGGUGGGGUAAUGGCCUACCAAGACUUUGAUCAAUAGCUGAUUUGAGAGGAUGAUCAGCCACAUUGGGACUGAGACACGGCCCAAACUCCUACGGGAGGCAGCAGUGGGGAAUCUUGCACAAUGGAGGAAACUCUGAUGCAGCGAUGCCGCGUGAGUGAAGAAGGCCCUUGGGUUGUAAAGCUCUUUCGUCGGGGAAGAAAAUGACUGUACCCGAAUAAGAAGGUCCGGCUAACUUCGUGCCAGCAGCCGCGGUAAUACGAAGGGACCUAGCGUAGUUCGGAAUUACUGGGCUUAAAGAGUUCGUAGGUGGUUGAAAAAGUUGGUGGUGAAAUCCCAGAGCUUAACUCUGGAACUGCCAUCAAAACUUUUCAGCUAGAGUAUGAUAGAGGAAAGCAGAAUUUCUAGUGUAGAGGUGAAAUUCGUAGAUAUUAGAAAGAAUACCAAUUGCGAAGGCAGCUUUCUGGAUCAUAACUGACACUGAGGAACGAAAGCAUGGGUAGCGAAGAGGAUUAGAUACCCUCGUAGUCCAUGCCGUAAACGAUGUGUGUUAGACGUUGGAAAUUUAUUUUCAGUGUCGCAGUGAAAACGAUAAACACACCGCCUGGGG